UAGGGAAUCUUCGGCAAUGGGGGGAACCCUGACCGAGCAACGCCGCGUGAGUGAAGAAGGUUUUCGGAUCGUAAAGCUCUGUUGUUAAGGAAGAACGAGUGUGAGAAUGGAAAGUUCAUGCUGUGACGGUACUUAACCAGAAAGGGACGGCUAACUACGUGCCAGCAGCCGCGGUAAUACGUAGGUCCCGAGCGUUGUCCGGAUUUAUUGGGCGUAAAGCGAGCGCAGGCGGUUAGAAAAGUCUGAAGUGAAAGGCAGUGGCUCAACCAUUGUAGGCUUUGGAAGCUGUUUAACUUGAGUGCAGAAGGGGAGGGUGGAAUUCCAUGUGUAGCGGUGAAAUGCGUAGAUAUAUGGAGGAACACCGGUGGCGAAAGCGGCUCUCUGGUCUGUAACUGACGCUGAGGCUCGAAAGCGUGGGGAGCGAACAGG
This 429-nucleotide ribosomal RNA is filed under the name Bacteroidota bacterium. RNAcentral describes it as "Bacteroidetes bacterium partial 16S ribosomal RNA". It matches the Rfam family "Bacterial small subunit ribosomal RNA", at positions 355 to 776 of the family's 1533-position model. The record is from RNAcentral. Lineage: Bacteria; Pseudomonadati; Bacteroidota.